RNAcentral lists this long non-coding RNA (1420 nucleotides) under Homo sapiens (human). RNAcentral describes it as "long intergenic non-protein coding RNA 1208". The record is from RNAcentral. Lineage: Eukaryota; Metazoa; Chordata; Mammalia; Primates; Hominidae.
CAUUAGACCUGUGAGAGGGGCUGUGACAGUGGAACCCGAAUGAAGACAGGAAAAGUCUGUAGAGGACUGAUGGUUAUGUUCACCAUUCAAAUUGCAAGAAAACCAAUAAGAAGUCAGUAAAGUGCAUUCAAAGAGAAAGGUGGGACUCGUGAAGCAAUACUAAACUGAUACACAAAGGAUCCCCGUACUUCAUCAAAAUAUCAAUGUUGUCCAUGACACACAAAGAACCCAGCUGUAGUUUAAUUCAGCAUCACAGUCCCAACAUGUUUUAAAACAUGUUCCAGCUUUUGGUCCCAGGAUUAUUCAACCUAGCUCAUAAAAGAAAACAAUAUUGCAUUUCUAAGUAUUGGCUCCUAGAAUUGGCAAGUUUAGUCAAGAAAAGCUGGAAUGCCGUUAAAACAACACCCUGUCAUCUUUCAAUCAGUCCUUAGCUGAAGUUAAAAUCCCACUCAUUCUGCAUGAUCCAGCCUCUGUAGCAUAGAGUGAGUAGCCCCUUAACAAGAACCAAAAUGGAGGGUACGGAUGAGGCUCAGAUCGUCACCACCUGGAGAAUAGAGACAGUGACUGAGUCACCAGGAAAUCUGUCCCCUGCUCAUCCCAGAAUCCCCGAGCUUUGACUUUUUAAGAGAACAUGUGACAGAUAAUGCCAUCUGAGAAGCUUAGGCAACUCAGUCAUCAAUGUGUCCUCGAGAAGAGCAUAUCCCCAAAUUGGAAAAUAAUCCUUCAGGGCAUCUGAACAUAACCACAUUUGGCUUACUUUGUGAAGCAGUUGUCUGAAUAGAAUAAGACUGGCUUGGAACGAGAUUCACAGAGCAACCAAAUAAAGAUGAUUGAGUGAAUGGCUAAAGAAAUAAAUAUGUUCGAAUCUGUACCCAUCUCAUGUCUUUCCUGAUGAUUGCCUCCUUUACUGUAUGUUUUCCACUGAGAUGAAGAUUUUGGUCAUUUCCUCAUUCAUGUUCCUGCUUUUCAAAACCCAAGCAAGAAAGGAAACUUCUACAGUGACUUUCUCAUUAUGAAAUCUUAGCAUUCACUAGUCGGCCAUAAUGGAAAACCAGCCAAAUGGACACAUAUACACUGGUCUGUACCCGCAGAGAAAGAAAUGCAAAUCUCUGUGAUCAGAAAACUAUCCUAUCUUGUACAUUGUUAAAAGUCUGCCUCCAAAAAGUUUACUUCUGGAAUACUGUAAUUGAAUAGAAUCAGGGAUCCUACCUGUGUCCUUCAACUUUCACAUCUUGUCUACUCAAGUAAGGGUUGAAUUUGCAUGACUAUAUCUAAGGUUCGAGGGCUUACCUGUUGGCAGUAGACCCAGUAGUCUAUGAAUGGAAAUGGGCAAACCUGUGACCUCCCAAAACUUUAAUAUGAAAGUUUUGUUUGUGUAUACUCAUGGCAUUAUUCUUUUAAUAAAGAGAUAAUCUAUAUA